GAUGAACGCUGGCGGCGUGCCUAAUACAUGCAAGUCGAGCGAACAGACGAGGAGCUUGCUCCUCUGACGUUAGCGGCGGACGGGUGAGUAACACGUGGAUAACCUACCUAUAAGACUGGGAUAACUUCGGGAAACCGGAGCUAAUACCGGAUAAUAUAUUGAACCGCAUGGUUCAAUAGUGAAAGACGGUUUUGCUGUCACUUAUAGAUGGAUCCGCGCCGCAUUAGCUAGUUGGUAAGGUAACGGCUUACCAAGGCGACGAUGCGUAGCCGACCUGAGAGGGUGAUCGGCCACACUGGAACUGAGACACGGUCCAGACUCCUACGGGAGGCAGCAGUAGGUAAUCUUCCGCAAUGGGCGAAAGCCUGACGGAGCAACGCCGCGUGAGUGAUGAAGGUCUUCGGAUCGUAAAACUCUGUUAUUAGGGAAGAACAAAUGUGUAAGUAACUAUGCACGUCUUGACGGUACCUAAUCAGAAAGCCACGGCUAACUACGUG
RNAcentral lists this ribosomal RNA (497 nucleotides) under uncultured bacterium. RNAcentral describes it as "partial 16S ribosomal RNA". It matches the Rfam family "Bacterial small subunit ribosomal RNA", at positions 28 to 507 of the family's 1533-position model. The record is from RNAcentral.